GCGGCGAAAGGGUGAGUAACACGUAACCAACGUACCCCUCAGAUCGGGAUAACCACUGGAAACGGUGGAUAAUACUGAAUGGUCCUAGGAGGGACAUCCUUCCGAAGGUAAACGGCGGCUUCGGCUGCUGUUGAGGGAGCGGGUUGCGUCCUAUCAGCUUGUUGGUGAGGUAACGGCUCACCAAGGCUAUGACGGGUAGCGGGUCUGAGAGGAUGAUCCGCCACACUGGGACUGAGACACUGCCCAGACUCCUACGGGAGGCUGCAGUCGAGAAUCUUCCACAAUGGGCGAAAGCCUGAUGGAGCGACGCUGCGUGUAGGAUGAAGGCCUUAGGGUUGUAAACUACUGUCACGCUAUAGGAACCCGUGUAGGUUAAUAGCCUGCGCGCUGACCAAAGCGAGAGGAAGUGCCGGCUAACUCCGUGCCAGCAGCCGCGGUAAGACGGAGGGCGCAAGCGUUGUUCGGAAUCACUGGGCAUAAAGGGCGCGUAGGCGGCCAGUUCAGUCGGAUGUGAAAUCCCCCGGCCCAACCGGGGAACUGCAUUCGAUACUGACUGGCUAGAGGAUGGUAGGAGCCAAUGGAACUCCAGGUGGAACGGUGAAAUGUGUAGAUAUCUGGAGGAACACCAGUGGCGAAAGCGAUUGGCUGGGCCAUUUCUGACGCUGAGGCGCGAAAGCUAGGGGAGCGAACGGGAUUAGAUACCCCGGUAGUCCUAGCCGUAAACGAUGGGUACUGGG
RNAcentral lists this ribosomal RNA (737 nucleotides) under uncultured Planctomycetota bacterium. RNAcentral describes it as "bacterial SSU rRNA". It matches the Rfam family "Bacterial small subunit ribosomal RNA", at positions 95 to 820 of the family's 1533-position model. The record is from RNAcentral. Lineage: Bacteria; Pseudomonadati; Planctomycetota.